Vidua chalybeata is the source of this 1189-nucleotide long non-coding RNA. RefSeq lists it as uncharacterized. The record is from RefSeq and is a predicted model, not a curated record. The transcript is spliced from 4 exons. NCBI's taxonomy places the organism in Eukaryota, Metazoa, Chordata, Aves, Passeriformes, Viduidae.
AGAUGUUGAGUUUGUGCUGUGAAAACAGAAAUUCAUGGCUGAUAAAACAUCAGAAAAUGGAAAGAGCAGCCUGAUCCAAAAAAUCAAAAGUGCAACAAGCUGUGCUGCUCUGGGAGAAAAACAUGGGCCUAGAAAGACUUGAACAGACCGGUACUGUUUGGAUCAGGGGACAUUUGAAUCCCACUGCUGAGUAAGAAAAGAGGAAUUCUGUCAGCCCCGGGUCAGGCUACAGCUCUCAGAAGCAGAGGGGUUUGUCAGGAAGUGUGUGACACCCACUGAGUGCUGCUCCUAAGAAGAUGAAUAGAGAACUCUUAGUCUCUAGACCAAGAGCAGAAGAUGAAAGGAUAGUUUAGCAGAGACAAGCCAGGAGAGCCAGUGACUGGAAGAGUAGUUGAGUGCUUGCUCAUUAAAAGAAUUAACCCUACACAUCUUUUACCAAUCACCAUCCUGCCAACUCCCAUGGGAAGCUGCCCAACAAGACUAUCACUCUCACUUACUGCCUACAGCUUCUCCCAAGGUUUCAACACCUUUCUGUACAUUCAUGCUUAACCUAAAGUGCCAGUAUGGAAAUGCUCCUCCAAUCUUGCCUUCCCUCCUCCUUCCUCACUCAGAAAAGACUGGUCGGCCAACGUUUUCUUCGCAAUAGGAUGAAGAAAACCUGUGAGCCUGACCAAUUGCAAGAAAAGACUCACACUAGAAGUACUGCUGAGAAGAAAACACGUCUGAGUUUUUAAAUUUUAAAUGUGGUGAUUGAGAAAAUGGGACUUAACUGGUGAAGGAAACUGGUAGUUAGAGGUCACUGAUAACUGGGGGGUAGGGGCAAAGGGAGUAAGGGAGUAGUUCAGACAUUGUCUGUCAUUGGUACAUAAAAUGUUUCUAUUUGACAGUUUUCCGUGUUAAACCAUAAAGUGACAAUUGGUUUAUAGACACUGUAACUUUAAUCUCAGCAGAGACCGUCAAUUCAGACUAAUCUGAAAUCUUAACUCAGUACUUCAAAAUAAAAACAGAAAUGAAAAAUUGUUACUGGUAAAUAGCACCAUAUGAAUAAUCUUUUUUCCCCCCACUCUUUUUCCAUAGGCACAUGUACCAAUUAGAACAGACUGCCUAGAAACCUUAACCAGGUUCAUGCCCCAUCGCACUGGGCACAUGAGAUAUGCAGCAGUUUGCUUAGACUGCCCACAUGCUUUUA